Long non-coding RNA from Armigeres subalbatus, 598 nucleotides. RefSeq lists it as uncharacterized. The record is from RefSeq and is a predicted model, not a curated record. Lineage: Eukaryota; Metazoa; Arthropoda; Insecta; Diptera; Culicidae. The transcript has 3 exons.
GUCGGCUACUCGUCAUUGUUUACGUUUCGACACGAUCAUCGGUUCGCGAAACCGUGAUCAAUAUUUACCCUUUCGCGAUCGCGGAUAAUUUUCGGUUCGGUUCGUCCGCGUAAAAUGACACAAAAUUGUGUCCUGCCGUAGAAAGUUCCCGGGUUGUAUACGGAUCAUCGAUUCGUGGUUCAUUUUCCGGUCGUUUUUCACUUGUACUGUCGUGGAAUCGGCGGGGAAGAGAACUUCCUCAGACGGAGGCAAUUAUGUGAUGAACCUGUCUCAUUCCAUUCAACGCCAUCCGCGUCCGGACAACUGAAUGUAUCGCUAUUUGGAUCGUUCACCGAAUGUUUCCUGCGAUGCUGUGGGAAUCGUCAGCUGACUGCUUCGAGCUGGUCCCGAUCGAGGAUGCUAUCACCGGACAUCAUCUGUUCCUCCGAAUGGAAUCUGGAUGUCGGCUUCGAAAAAGUGAAGUGUACUCUCAGGCCAUGGUCAUGACCCGAGCAAAAGUGAAUCAUUCAUAACUCUCGCUGUAAAUUAACAGGAGAAAAUUGAUUCAUGUAAUAAACGAUGAUUUUGUUUGUUUGUUUCUCUUUUGUUGGAAAGAUUU